GAGACAGAGUCUUGUCUAAAAUCCAUGUUCCGCUGUCUGGUCUCACCCAGGACAGAUUAAAUCAACAGCCCCACCAGAAGAGAGAGCACCCUGUGGUUACCUCCGCGGAGGGUUGGCGUUGGAAAGGCUUGUCCUAACCAUGGUAUGACUCUGUGCUCAUUACGACGGCACCCAGCCCCAUAGCACCCCCAACCACCCAGUGGCAGUGAUGAGACCAGUUGUUCGGGUGAACCCAACCGAAUUGUGUAACGUGCCCCCCAGCCGUGCUCGGACCUUAGAGAGAGGGGGCUGCCUGCAGAGAGGAGCACGGAGGCUAUGGGGAUGGGCGUCUGGCAAACACCUUUGAUAGUUCCAAGGAGAUGCUACGUCACUGACAGCUGCUGGCAGAGCUCCUUCCCCUGACAGCACUGGACCUGACAGGCUUUCGCUGCCAAGGAGUGGAACCAGCUGUGCGGAAGGCAAAGAUGGCAGGCUGGAGACCAAAAUCCUCAAAUCGCUUCUGGGAUAGAUACAGCGCUGGACCUCAUGGUGCUCCGCAAAAGUGCCUCCACUCUGAGCUAGAGGGGCCCUGUGGAAUUCAGCCUUCGUGACCAACUUUCAGCUUUGGCCUCCCCACCGAGACCUCCAAGAAGGGCUCCAACAAGUGGCAGUUGUGGGAGUGGUUUGUGUGAUGUGCACACAUCCAUACGAAUGGCACUGAGAUCCUCAUCUCCUGUUAUAUGGGGAAACCAAACCGCCAUGAGGAGGGAAGAACUUCUAGCUUUCACUGACCUGGGCUUUAAACUGGUGACCAUAGAGGUAAGACUGUAUUACAGGACCAGCUGAAUCCCAUUGAAAUUAAUGGAAAGCUGACUUCAGUGUGUAGGACCUGGCCUCUAUAGCACAGCACCAAAGAUAACCCUCUGACCCUCUUCCUGGCCAGGCCUGAUGGUGAGUUUGUCAUCAAGCUAAAACUACAUUUCCCUCAUUUUUCUGUCCAUCUUACUUGUGCCCCUGGGUUGUGGGUAAUGACUUGUUGUGUCCUCCCCAUGCUGUGUGCCACGGUGGAGGAGGAAUUUACUGUGGUGGGGAGAAGGGGUGGUGUUUUCUAUUGUCUAUGCUGGUUUAUUUCAAGGAAGAAUUUUCUCAUCUUGUGUUUGGAGCAGAUUUAAACCCUGUGAUGUUCAAUUCAUACCUCUAACGUGCCUUACAGCCCACACAGUUAGCCUUUUGUUGUAAUCCAAUCUGCAUUCCUGUAGUAAUAACUCUUAGCUCUGCUUCAGCUCCUUCCACAGGAGGAGCUCGGAACCCCACAAAAUUACUUGAUGGAAAUAGGAGAACUAUCAAUAAUACAGAAAAGGCAGAAGAGUUCAAUAAAUCUGUUCUGUGUUUGGGGGAAAAAGACAUUAUGUCAGAACUCUUUCCAUUCCACUAGUAUCUUGGAAGGAUGUUAAACGGCAGCUACUAAAGUAUACACUUUUAAAUCAGUUGAUCUAGAUAACUUGUACCCAAGAGUUUCAAAAGAGCUGGCUGAGGAGUUCGCUGGACCAUUAAUAUUGAUUUUCAAUAAGUCUUGGAACAGCAGGAAAGUUCUAGAAGAAAGCUAAUGUUAUGCUAACAUUUAAAAAGGGUAAAUGGGAUGACACAGAUAAUUAUAGGUUUACUGGUCUGACAUCAAUCCUGUACAAGAUAAUCAAGUGGUUGA
Caretta caretta (loggerhead turtle) is the source of this 1684-nucleotide long non-coding RNA. RefSeq lists it as uncharacterized. The record is from RefSeq and is a predicted model, not a curated record. NCBI's taxonomy places the organism in Eukaryota, Metazoa, Chordata, Testudines, Cheloniidae.